Mycena metata is the source of this 90-nucleotide non-coding RNA. The record is from the annotation of a GenBank genome assembly. NCBI's taxonomy places the organism in Eukaryota, Fungi, Basidiomycota, Agaricomycetes, Agaricales, Mycenaceae.
GGUCAGAUAGCACAGUGGUUAGUGCACAGACAGUCUUGAUUAUGGAAUGCCAUGUCGUCCGCUACCCUCGUUCGAUUCGGGGUCUGUCCA